CCUACGGGAGGCAGCAGUGAGGAAUAUUGGUCAAUGGACGGAAGUCUGAACCAGCCAUGCCGCGUGCAGGAAGACGGCUCUAUGAGUUGUAAACUGCUUUUGUACAAGGGUAAACCUGAAGACGUGUCUUCAGCUGAAUGUACGGUAAGAAUAAGGAUCGGCUAACUCCGUGCCAGCAGCCGCGGUAAUACGGAGGAUCCAAGCGUUAUCCGGAUUUAUUGGGUUUAAAGGGUGCGUAGGCGGAUUGAUAAGUUAGAGGUGAAAUGCCCGGGCUUAACUCGGGAACUGCCUCUAAUACUGGUGAUCUAGAGAGUAGAUGAGGUAGGCGGAAUGUGUGGUGUAGCGGUGAAAUGCUUAGAGAUCAUACAGAACACCGAUUGCGAAGGCAGCUUACCAAUCUAUAUCUGACGUUGAGGCACGAAAGCGUGGGGAGCGAACAGGAUUAGAUACCCCUGUAGUC
This 460-nucleotide ribosomal RNA is filed under the name uncultured bacterium. RNAcentral's name for it is "partial 16S ribosomal RNA". It matches the Rfam family "Bacterial small subunit ribosomal RNA", at positions 338 to 795 of the family's 1533-position model. The record is from RNAcentral.